CCUGUGUUGGCUUUGUGCAUAUUCAGCAUUCGCUUCCUUCCUCCUCUUCCAGUGUGACUCGAACCUGCAGAGGCUCAAGUUGUGUCAAACAUGGGUUUGUUGCAGGUUUGUUGCAGGCUGUAGCCUGGUGAUGCACUUACAUCCGUCAACUGUGUGACGGACACUUCCUCCAUCAUGUGGUGACACAGCAAGGCAGACGUUUCAAAGAAAUGAUGUCACUGCUAACCUGAUUUACGGCUGUGCGGAGGAGGCCUGGGAUGCAGGGGAACGUCUGGGAAAUGGAAACGCCUCUGGGCUGAAAGAAAAGCAGGGUGGAUGCAGCAACAGUCUGAGCGAGAAGAGGCAAGCGGCCAAUGAAGAGCACAGCAAAGACAGCUGUGGGACUGAUUAGCUGAUCUGAGGGAGGCGUCCCAUCGAUUACUGAGGCUGCUGCAUUCAUUUCAAUGAGCAAACAAGUGACUUAUUCUCCAGUCGUUCAAGUUGACUUUGACCCGUUGAAUAAACCUGUUUGUCCAAAGUAAAUGUUCA
Molecule: long non-coding RNA, 528 nt
Filed under: Betta splendens (Siamese fighting fish)
Lineage: Eukaryota; Metazoa; Chordata; Actinopteri; Anabantiformes; Osphronemidae
Description: lncRNA (ENSBSLG00000020632.1)
Source: RNAcentral